This 300-nucleotide ribosomal RNA is filed under the name uncultured Halogeometricum sp. RNAcentral describes it as "bacterial SSU rRNA". It matches the Rfam family "Bacterial small subunit ribosomal RNA", at positions 496 to 795 of the family's 1533-position model. Lineage: Archaea; Methanobacteriati; Methanobacteriota; Halobacteria; Halobacteriales; Haloferacaceae. The record is from RNAcentral.
GGUAAAUACGUGGCGGCAGGCAGGGGUAAAGGUGUUGGGCGAGCGGUAAUGGUAAGUACGGUGCGGAAAGGGUGCGCAGGCGGUUAUGUAAGGCAGAUGGCAAAGCGCCGGGCUCAACCGGGGAACUGCGUUGGUGACUGCAUAACUAGAGGACGGCAGAGGGAGGUGGAAUUCCACGUGUAGCAGUGAAAUGCGUAGAGAUGUGGAGGAACACCGAUGGCGAAGGCAGCCUCCUGGGCCAGUACUGACGCUCAUGCACGAAAGCGUGGGGAGCAAACAGGAUUAGAUACCCGGGUAGUC